UCCAACCUACUCAAGUCAAAUCGAUCUAACUACGCUCAAAUUACUCCCCCUUUUUGUCACAAAGGGCCAAAGAGCGCCAAAAAAAAUCACAAGAAAAAUAAGCUAAGAAGCAGCAUCCGCAGCAUCUGAAGAAUCAGAGCCACUCUCAGCACUCGUGCUGGCCUCCAAAUGAUCUCGAAUCCAGCGCAGCUGACGCUGACAAACAGCAAGAGCACGGCGAAA
This 222-nucleotide long non-coding RNA is filed under the name Olea europaea (common olive). Its description in RNAcentral is "long non-coding RNA (OEUR_LNC014897)". The record is from RNAcentral. Lineage: Eukaryota; Viridiplantae; Streptophyta; Magnoliopsida; Lamiales; Oleaceae.